GCUUACGGCCAUACCAGCCUGGGUAUGCCCGAUCUCGUCUGAUCUCGGAAGCUAAGCAGGGUCGGGCCUGGUUAGUACUUGGAUGGGAGACCGCCUGGAAAUACCAGGUGCUGUAAGCA
RNAcentral lists this ribosomal RNA (119 nucleotides) under Salmo salar (Atlantic salmon). The record is from RNAcentral. Lineage: Eukaryota; Metazoa; Chordata; Actinopteri; Salmoniformes; Salmonidae.